GAUGAACGCUGGCGGCGUGCCUAAUACGUGCAAGUCGAGCGAACGGACGAGAAGCUUGCUUCUCUGAUGUUAGCGGCGGACGGGUGAGUAACACGUGGAUAACCCACCUAUAAGACUGGGAUAACUUCGGGAAACCGGAGCUAAUACCGGAUAAUAUUUUGAACCGCAUGGUUCAAAAGUGAAAGACGGUCUUGCUGUCACUUAUAGAUGGAUCCGCGCUGCAUUAGCUAGUUGGUAAGGUAACGGCUUACCAAGGCAACGAUGCAUAGCCGACCUGAGAGGGUGAUCGGCCACACUGGAACUGAGACACGGUCCAGACUCCUACGGGAGGCAGCAGUAGGGAAUCUUCCGCAAUGGGCGAAAGCCUGACGGAGCAACGCCGCGUGAGUGAUGAAGGUCUUCGGAUCGUAAAACUCUGUUAUUAGGGAAGAACAUAUGUGUAAGUAACUGUGCACAUCUUGACGGUACCUAAUCAGAAAGCCACGGCUAACUACGUG
This 497-nucleotide ribosomal RNA is filed under the name uncultured bacterium. RNAcentral's name for it is "partial 16S ribosomal RNA". It matches the Rfam family "Bacterial small subunit ribosomal RNA", at positions 28 to 507 of the family's 1533-position model. The record is from RNAcentral.